This 164-nucleotide ribosomal RNA is filed under the name uncultured bacterium. Its description in RNAcentral is "partial 16S ribosomal RNA". It matches the Rfam family "Bacterial small subunit ribosomal RNA", at positions 355 to 511 of the family's 1533-position model. The record is from RNAcentral.
UAGGGAAUCUUCCACAAUGGACGCAAGUCUGAUGGAGCAACGCCGCGUGAGUGAAGAAGGGUUUCGGCUCGUAAAGCUCUGUUGUUAAAGAAGAACAUAUCUGAGAGUAACUGUUCAGGUAUUGACGGUAUUUAACCAGAAAGCCACGGCUAACUACGUGCCGG